This 1234-nucleotide long non-coding RNA is filed under the name Canis lupus familiaris (dog). Its description in RNAcentral is "lncRNA (ENSCAFG00845003948.1)". The record is from RNAcentral. Lineage: Eukaryota; Metazoa; Chordata; Mammalia; Carnivora; Canidae.
AAAGAGCCGAGGCUUCUUCUAGUCUGUUUGAAUUACCCUGAGUACAUUGAAUGACCUUGACUAACUGAUUUUUAAUGUUUCUGCUGGCUUAGCACAAAAUAGGUGCUUUCUCUCUAUAGAAUCAGUCCCGUAGCACCUGAGGAAAAGUGAAUGGGUGUGCUGGCAGGUAUUUUUUUAGUUAAAAAUUUAACAAGAUUCAUCAGUUUUCUUUCUUUCUUUUUUUUUUUUUUUUUUUUUUGAUUCAUCAGUUUUCAAGCAUCAUAUGUGCAGUGCAAGAUUAAGGUAGAUAUUAUAGAAGUAAUGAUGCCAAAAAGCCUUAUACUUAAAAAACAAGCAAGCAAACACCUGAGCCACUAAUUGAUAUACCUCGAGAUUGUCAAAUACUUGCUAUCAGUUUAAAUAUGCUGGGGUAUUCAAAUAUCACUUGCCUGUUGCUGACCUGAUAUUUCAAACUUAAUCUCCCUUAUCACUAUGGCUCUAUGCCAUCAGUCCCUGGAAUGCAGAUCUUCUUAUGCCAAACUUUUACAUUAAUUUCUUCACAUUGUGGUUUUUAAAGCCAUUCAAGUAAAAAAAAUAAAUAAAUAACACCAUAAAGCUAUCACCAAUGAAAGAGUAGUAACAAAUAUACUUGACCUGUGAACUGCACAGGUUCCCCCUUACAGGCAGAUAUUUUACAGUACUGUAAAUGUAUUUUUUCUUCCUUAUUAUUUUUUUUAAGUAGGCUUCAUGUCCAGAGCUUGAACUCAUGACUCUAAUAUCAGGGCCUGAGCUGAGAACAAGAGUUGGAUGUUUAACCAACUGAGCCACCCAGGUACCCCUUCCUUAUGAUUUUCUUAAUAGCAUGUUCUUUUCUCUAGCUUCCUUUAUUUUUUUUUCUAGCUUCCUUUAUUAUAAGGAUACAAUAUAUAAUACAUGUAACAUACAAAAUAUAUAUUAUCAACUGGUUAUGUUAUUAGGCUUCUGGUCAACCAGUAGGCCAUGAGUAGUUACGUUUUUGGGGAUUCAAAUAGAUUUUUGACUACACAGAUGGUCAACACUCUUAACCCCCAUAUUGUUCAAGGUCAAUUUAAACAAUGGUUAGGUAUUCAAGACACUUAGAAUAUCCAUUUUAAAAUGUCCUUAGAUACCAUUUUGAAAUAUCCUUUUUAUCACAACUAAAUUUUCUAUUAAUCUGUAGCAGAUUAGAUUUUCAAUGGGUCCUGUUGUCACUUUGUCUUCUCAUAUCAACCCAUGU